AGUGGCAGACGGGUGAGUAACACGUGGGUAUCCACUCUUUGAUGGGGAAUAACUCUGGGAAACCGGAGCUAAUACCGCAUAAGUCCGAGAGGAGAAAGACGCAAGUCGUCGAAGAAGGAGCCCGCGGCUGAUUAGCUAGUUGGUGAGGUAAUGGCUCACCAAGGCGUAGAUCGGUAGCCGGCCUGAGAGGGCACACGGCCACACUGGCACUGAGACACGGGCCAGACUCCUACGGGAGGCAGCAGUGGGGAAUCUUGCACAAUGGGGGAAACCCUGAUGCAGCGACGCCGCGUGAGCGAUGAAGCCCUUCGGGGUGUAAAGCUCUUUCGGCAGGAACGAUAAUGACGGUACCUGAAGAAGAAGCUGCGGCUAACUACGUGCCAGCAGCCGCGGUAAUACGUAGGCAGCAAACGUUGUUCGGAGUUACUGGGCGUAAAGAGUACGUAGGCGGUUUGCCAAGUUUGGUGUGAAAUCUCCUGGCUUAACUGGGAGGGUGCGCCGAAUACUGGCGAGCUUGAGUGUUGGAGAGGGGAGCGGAAUUCCUGGUGUAGCGGUGAAAUGCGUAGAUAUCAGGAGGAACACCGGUGGUGUAGACGGCUCCCUGGACAACCACUGACGCUGAGGUACGAAAGCGUGGGUAGCAAACAGGAUUAGAUACCCUGGUAGUCCACGCCCUAAACGAUGCAAACUUGG
This 693-nucleotide ribosomal RNA is filed under the name uncultured bacterium. RNAcentral describes it as "bacterial SSU rRNA". It matches the Rfam family "Bacterial small subunit ribosomal RNA", at positions 94 to 820 of the family's 1533-position model. The record is from RNAcentral.